RNAcentral lists this ribosomal RNA (599 nucleotides) under Eleutherodactylus johnstonei (Johnstone's robber frog). Its description in RNAcentral is "partial large subunit ribosomal RNA". It matches the Rfam family "Bacterial large subunit ribosomal RNA", at positions 1797 to 2620 of the family's 2925-position model. The record is from RNAcentral. Lineage: Eukaryota; Metazoa; Chordata; Amphibia; Anura; Eleutherodactylidae.
CGCCUGUUUAUCAAAAACAUCGCCUCCUGAUAACCUAUAGGAGGUCCAGCCUGCCCAGUGACCUAGUUUAACGGCCGCGGUAUCCUAACCGUGCGAAGGUAGCGUAAUCACCUGUUUUUUAAUUGAAGACCUGUAUGAAUGGCAUCACGAGAAUCACACUGUCUCCUUUUUCUAAUCAGUGAAACUAAUCUCCCCGUGAAAAAGCGGGGAUAAAAAUACAAGACGAGAAGACCCUUUGGAGCUUAAGACAAUGUAACAAUUUUGUUUUCUUAAUUAACUCUAUCCCAUAAAAACAUUUAUUUACUAGUCUUUGGUUGGGGCAACCGCGGAGCAAAAAAUAACCUCCAAGUUGAACGGAAUUUUCCUAAACUAAAAGCCACACCUUUAUGUAUCAACAUAUUGACAUUCAUGACCCAAUUUUUUUUUGAUUAUCGAACCAAGUUACCCUAGGGAUAACAGCGCAAUCCACCUCAAGAGUUCGUAUCGACAGGUGGGCUUACGACCUCGAUGUUGGAUCAAGGUAUCCUAGUGGUGCAGCCGCUACUAAAGGUUCGUUUGUUCAACGAUUAAAACCUCACGUGAUCUGAGUUCAAACCGGA